RNAcentral lists this ribosomal RNA (496 nucleotides) under uncultured bacterium. RNAcentral describes it as "bacterial SSU rRNA". It matches the Rfam family "Bacterial small subunit ribosomal RNA", at positions 29 to 526 of the family's 1533-position model. The record is from RNAcentral.
AACGAACGUUGGCGGCGUGGAUUAGGCAUGCAAGUCGAACGAAUCCCACUGCUGUAGCAAUACAGUGGUGGGGGAAGUGGCGAAAGGGGCAGUAAUGCGUGGGUAAUCUACCCUGGGGACCGGGAUAGCUCUUCUAACGAGGAGGUAAUACCGGGCAACGUGAUUGAGGGGCAUCUCUUGAUCACCAGAUGAAUUUCGCCCUGGGAGGAGCUCACGUCGUAUUAGCUAGUUGGUGAGGUAACGGCCCACCAAGGCAAAGAUGCGUAGCGGGUGUGAGAGCACGACCCGCGCCACUGGCACUGAGACACUGGCCAGACACCUACGGGUGGCUGCAGUCGAGGAUCUUUGGCAAUGGGCGCAAGCCUGACCAAGCGACGCCGCGUGUGCGAUGAAGGCCUUCGGGUUGUAAAGCACUGUCGAGGGGGAUCAAGGCGCAAGCUUGAGAGAUCCCUGGAGGAAGCACGGGCUAAGUUCGUGCCAGCCGCCGCGGUAAAAC